Molecule: ribosomal RNA, 562 nt
Filed under: Acrochaetium sp. 1NL
Lineage: Eukaryota; Rhodophyta; Florideophyceae; Acrochaetiales; Acrochaetiaceae
Description: eukaryotic LSU rRNA
Rfam family: Eukaryotic large subunit ribosomal RNA
Source: RNAcentral
AUGGAAAGAACUUUGAAAAGAGAGUGAAAAGCACUUGAAACCGUCACGGGGGAAGCGGAUUGCGUGAGUGAUGGCGUCGCUUGUUCAGCGCAUUUUUUUGCGUGCAUUCUGGCGGCGCCGUGCCGGCGUGGCUGGCAUGGCGGGAUUCUUGUGAUUCCGCUUGCUGGUGAGGGCUCCCUUCACAGGUGAGGACGCGGGCAAAAUGACGCAAUACGACCCGUCUUGAAACACGGACCAAGGAGUCUAGCACGGCUGCGAGUCGAAGGGUGAUGAAACCCAAGGGCGCAGUGAAAGCGAAAUGAUAAGCAAAUUGGGGAGGCGUUGCGUUUUUAACAAAAUGUCCUACCUUGAGCAAUUGUGCUGGGACCCGAAAGAUGGUGAACUAUGCCGGAGUAGGGCAAAGCCAGAGGAAACUCUGGUGGAGGCUCGUAGCGAUGCUGACGUGCAAAUCGCUCGUCGAACUUGGGUAUAGGGGCGAAAGACUAAUCGAACCAUCUAGUAGCUGGUUCCCUCCGAAGUUUCUCUCAGGAUAGCGGGCCRACACGCGUUUGUUGUUUUGUGC